GAUAUGUCAUUCCCCUUGGACCGAACCAUCUAAUUUUCAAUGAUUUCGAGAAAAUGUCCUGUUAACACUGGAAAUUUCAAAUCUUCGGCAUUAUUUUCAGAAAUACUAUUAUUCUUUUAUGUAAUGACACAUUUGCAUCAAAAUAAUGUCGAAAAGUUCAGGUUUAACGAAUUCCUCAGCCGAGUCCUCAGCUUAUCUUUAUCUGCCCGAAAAAUCGCAUAGUCCACUCUGACUGAACGCCGACCAUUUGAUGGCGAAAACAUCAGAUUUUUUCUUUCUGUGUUUAUUUUUUCUAAUGUCGUUUUCGUUUUUGCGGUGGAGCUACACCGGUGUAGCACUUUUGCACCAAAAAUGAUCGUUUUUGAUUUCCGUGCUACACCGGUGCAGCACUUUUUCUGCACCACGCAGGAUAGUGUAGCACUCAAAAAAUCGGGAGUGUAGCUGGUGCACACCGUGUCCACCAAUCAGCGUUUGCAAAGUUGUCAAUAUUUUGGUGUUUAUACACGCACACCAAUGCAACUGCACCGAAAACAAUGAGAGUAUAUUACAGGUGGGGAAGAAGAAGAGAUGGCUAUGUAUUAGUAAGCAAAGAAAAAUGUAAACACAAAUUGUGACGUCACUAUUUGACACGCGUUCUUAUGGGAGCUCGCUUUGCUUGUAGUAGUGACAUGUUUUGCACCAGACACGGAUCUCACGCACACGAAGUUCUUCUUCCCCACCUCUAUUAGACUCUCAUUGCACCGAAAAUGUUCGUUUAUUCAGCGAAAAGUGUAGCACGAAGCGCACGCUAGUUCUCAAAUACCCAUUAAAUGGGUCUUAAGUACCCAUUUUUUGCAACAGUACUGAGCUGUCAAAAAAUGGGGCUUUUUCUUACUUCAAAUAAUGGGUAAAUAAACCCCAUUACGAAGUUCUCUUUCUGAUGAAAAUAAUGGGUAAAUAGCACCCAUGAUUAUUUGUCAUUUUCAGAACCGCCAUUGUUGGACUUCGUGAUUUUUAAAAAAAGCAUAUUUAGCUUUGUGAUUCAUUGUAUCGAACAAUCGACAUCGCAGAUGAAGAGGAUAUUGUUAUUUAAAUUGGUAACAUGGUAGCAUUUGGAUGAAAAAGUCCCGGAAAGGGCGGGUUCUCGGUGCUGUGAUUUUAUGAGCAUUGAAAGUCGGAUGCGCUUCGAAAAUGGAGGAUAAUUAUAUAGAGAUAGAUAUAGAGCUAACUGUCCUUCAUAUUACAUAAUAAAUAUACAAUUUAAAUGUGUACAGUCUCA
Molecule: long non-coding RNA, 1258 nt
Organism: Aedes albopictus (Asian tiger mosquito)
Lineage: Eukaryota; Metazoa; Arthropoda; Insecta; Diptera; Culicidae
Exons: 2
Source: RefSeq, a predicted model, not a curated record